This 388-nucleotide long non-coding RNA is filed under the name Gossypium barbadense (sea-island cotton). RNAcentral's name for it is "long non-coding RNA (GBAR_LNC018795)". Lineage: Eukaryota; Viridiplantae; Streptophyta; Magnoliopsida; Malvales; Malvaceae. The record is from RNAcentral.
ACAAUGAUAUGCAUGCCCCAAGCAGCAAUUCUAGUUUUCUAAUCCUCGAACUUCUAACAUUUUGAUCCAACUGCUUCAAUACAAGUUGCAAGUAAGUGCACAAGCGCAAGCCCCUGAUGCUCCCCAUGGUUGUUCUCCUACUCAUAAGGCCCCAAGCCGGCACCUUCAUGCGGGUAAGGAUUCCCAGAACCAUUACCAAACUUCAUGUUCCGUUGCUUGCUCGUUUAACUGAAGCCCCAAACUAUGACUCUCCGAAGAAGCACUCGAUCCCGAAGCUUCCCUUUCCGACCAAUGGAUUGUCUCAAUAUUCUUUUCCCUUAAGCCAGUGAUCUUUGUUAUUAUUGAUUCGAUCCAUGGAUUGUUAGAUAAUUACAAAGGCGUCGAAAUC